UACGUAGGGGGCAAGCGUUGUCCGGAUUUAUUGGGCGUAAAGAGCGUGUAGGCGGCUGGGUAGGUCCGUUGUGAAAACUCGAGGCUCAACCUCGAGACGCCGAUGGAAACCCUCCAGCUAGAGUCCGGAAGAGGAGAGUGGAAUUCCUGGUGUAGCGGUGAAAUGCGCAGAUAUCAGGAGGAACACCGGUGGCGAAGGCGGGUCUCUGGGCCGAAACUGACGCUGAGGAGCGAAAGCGUGGGGAGCAAACAGG
Molecule: ribosomal RNA, 253 nt
Filed under: uncultured bacterium
Lineage: Bacteria
Description: partial 16S ribosomal RNA
Rfam family: Bacterial small subunit ribosomal RNA
Source: RNAcentral